Molecule: ribosomal RNA, 256 nt
Filed under: uncultured bacterium
Lineage: Bacteria
Description: partial 16S ribosomal RNA
Rfam family: Bacterial small subunit ribosomal RNA
Source: RNAcentral
CGGACGGGUGAGUAACGCGUGGGUAACCUGCCUCACACUGGGGGAUAACAGUUAGAAAUAGCUGCUAAUACCGCAUAAGCGCACAGUUCCGCAUGGAACAGUGUGAAAAACUCCGGUGGUGUGAGAUGGACCCGCGUCUGAUUAGCCAGUUGGCGGGGUAACGGCCCACCAAAGCGACGAUCAGUAGCCGGCCUGAGAGGGUGAACGGCCACAUUGGGACUGAGACACGGCCCAGACUCCUACGGGAGGCAGCAUG